GCCUCUUCUUCACUUGGUUUUUCACCUCUGAGAUGUUCCGCUCUGCUGCAAGCAAUAGGGUGUUUCACAGAUCCAUACUUGUCUUUACAAUUUCCAGGCUUAGGAAAUAUUUUUAAAUUUUAUUGAUGACCUUUCCAAAGUUUAAAUGAGUUAGCCCUUGGAUGUUAAGAGGAAAUAGUAUUUUAAAGACAAAGUAAAAGAAUGCCAAAUCUAUGAGGACAUUAUGCUAAGUGAAAUAAGCCAGUCACAAAAUGACAAGUAUUGCUGAUUCCACCUAUAUAAGGUCCUAGAUUAGUCAAACUCGUAGAGACUGAGAGUAGAAAGGGGAUGCCAGGGACUGCAGAGUGGGGCUAGGGAAGUGGGGAGUUAGGAUUUAACGUGUACAGAGUUCCAGUUCGGGAGGAUGGAAAGACUUCCGGAGGUUAGGCACAGGGGCUCAUGCCUAUAAUCUCCACACUUUCAGAGACCAAGGAAGGAGAACUGCUUGAGGCCAGGAGUUUGAAACCAGACUGGGCAACAUAGUGAGAUCCCAUCUCUACAAAAAAUUUAAAAAAUUAAACAGUGUGGGGACGUGAGCCUGUAGCCCCAGCUACUCAGGAGGCUGAGGUGAGAGGAUUGUUUGAACCCAGGAGGUUGAGGCCACAGUGAGCUGUAAUCACACCACUCCACUCCAGUCUGGGUAACAGAGCGACACCCUAUCUCAAAUAAAUAAAUAAAUCUUUUUAAAAAUAAAAGAAUUGGAUAUGAUGUUAAAUUUUAUGUUAUGUGUAUAUUGCCACAAUUUAAAAUUUUUUAAAGAAUACCAAAUCAAGAAGUGCUAAAGUUCAUGGAAUUACCUAUAUCAGAGGUGGUGGGAGUCAGGAGUAUGGAAAAGAACCCUUCAAAUGAAAAGGUUCAUGAUUAUCGAAAACAGCUUGUCCUGUUUUUACCAACUGGAAACUUUCUCUAGGAAAGCAGCUAUUCCUAAUGGCAUUUCUAAAAUUAUGCAAACACAAAACCAAAAAGAAGGCAGGCACCCAGUAAAGUUAUCUAAGACUUUGGUGGGAAAAUAAAUAAAUAAACCUGCCGCCUCACGGUUGUUUCUCCUCACCUACAAGGCUUUGAUUUCUGAGAUGGGGCCUGAAGCAGGAAUUCCUCACACAAUGGAUGCUCAAUUUGUCACAGGAUGUGCCUCUCCACUCUCAUACCAGAUAAAAGGUUAGCCUGGUUUUUCAUCUAGCUGUGUCUCCCUCAGAAUCAAAACUAUCGUCCUCCUCAGUGCUGGAUCGAGUCCUUUCAUCUUUAAUUUGACCAAAAUGGAAACCAGGAUCAUGAGAAUUCCUCGGGGCUGGUGUUGAAAGGAAUUUCCCCUGCUCUUGCCAGAGUCUCGAGGGGUGGCCUCCUUCCACGGGUGAGUAACCACAAGUCCAUGUGACCGAACAAACAGCAUAUUCUUUUGUUCAAAAGAGAAAAACAACAUUGAAGGAAAUCAGCUGAAGAAAAUUGAGAUGAAAGCCAGUCCACGCCUCAGCAUCCUGAGGAAAUGUUCUUCCUUGAUGCUCUGAGCUCUCUAAGAAGUUACCACAAAACCAAACCCAUCAGAAGUUUGCAGGACGUCCUUGUUUAGAGCUGGGAAAUAAACCACGAAACAGCGCAAAGGAGAGUCCAGGCCUGCCAAUGCUUCCGCGAACUCCUCGCCCCGACCUCAUCCUUCUCCAGCUCCUACCUGCAGGCCUCAGUCUAGACCAAGAGUCAGCAAACCAUGGCCCUUGAGCCGAAUCUAGCCUGCUAUCUGGCUUUGCCAAUAAAGCCUGGAACAUAGCCACGUUCAUGACUUAUCCACGACUGCCUUUGCACUACAACAACAGGGUUGAGUGUUGCAACAGAGACCGUGUGGCCCACAAAGCCUAAAAUAUAUACUAUCUGGCCUUUUACAGACAACUUUUGCAGACCUCUGGUCCGGACAAUGAACAACCCAUAGAACAAGAUCUGAUUUGUAAUGUUUGCUGAUCUCCAAAGUGUAAAUACUCCCACCAUGACCAAUUGGAAGCCACUGACAAGUCCUCACUAAAUGCAGAAUUGAGAAGAAACACGAAUAGCACAUCAUUGUAUGGUAUUUCCACUCUACCAAUGGAUGUGAAUAACCUCAAGAACACAUAAUGUUGAGAUGUGGAAAAAUCAUCAGGAAGCCGUGAGUUUUGACUAUUUGCUUUUUAGCUAAUUAAUUAUAAGGUCACAUAAUUUAGUGUUUAAUAAUCACUAUGUUAACAACCAGCUCACAGCAUUCCUGAAAAUUUCACAGUUGGCUCCUGUAAGCUGAUAUGGCCAGCCCCAGCUCAUGACAGGUUACGGUAUGCUGUCAAUUGUGUGGAAAACGUAUCGGGAGGUCAUGACUGUAUAUCCACAUAAGCUUCUCUAUGCACAGAGUAUCUCUGGAAGAUGCAUAAGAAAUUGCAACAGCUGUUGCUUCCGCAGUGGGCAAAUGGAGGUCUGGGAGUUGAGUUGGGGAUGCACAUUUAUUUUUUACUAUAUGUUCUUUUGUAGAGAAUAUAAAUUGGUAUGAAUUUUUUAAGCAUAUGUCUGUGUUACCCUUAAAUCCCAAUGGAUCUUUUAUAAGCAAGCUCUUCCAUCUUUUUUUUCCCGAGUCUCCCCUUCACCCUGCAGUGUCUCUGCAAUGCUGGUAGAGUGGGCUGGCACAGCCCCCGCCUCUGGCCUGGUCCGGGUCCAACCUGCCUGCCUCCUGGGGCAGCAGCUCCCUGAACGAAGAGCCGCGGAGACCGAAGAACUCAGUGAAUCAGCAGUUCUCCCAGAUGAAACGCUGGCCUGAAAGCAGCCUCAAGAGCUUUGGCCCGUCACCUUGCCUUGCCUUCUCUUCCUUCCUCGUCCUCUGUUUGUUCAUCUUUCCUGAAAAAAUUAAGUCAGCUGUUCCCCUUAACCAAUUUCCCUGGCAUUCUGAAGGGUAGGCCACAUGGCCCACCUGCCAGCUACUCCCACCUGCCAAGCCUUCCUGACUAUAUUUACCCUGGUACUCCCAUGUCCCGGGGCUGCUUCAGCAGAGCCAAGGACACACCCAGGUGUUUGUUUUCUAGGUCAGAUUUCCUCAGCCAUGGGUGUAUCUGUGCUUGUCCCUCAAAAUCCUCAUAGCUCCUUUCCCCACCCCAACUUCCAGGCCAGACGGGGUUCAGGGGUGUCUCAGCUAAGGUUCCCCUGAAGCAGACACAAAUUAGUACAAAAGGGACUUAUUAGGAGGUGAUCCUUAAAAAUUUGGGCAGGAGAAUGGAAAGGGUGGACACAGACAAAAAGGAUGCCAAGUGAGAAUGUGAUGAUUACUGCUGCAGUUUUCUACAGCUGCCUGUCAAACUAUCCCAACACAGUGGCAUUGACCAGCAGCCAUUUUCGCUAUGCCCACAGCUUCUGUGGGUCAGGCGUUUGGACAGGGCAAUGGGAACAGCUUGUUUCUGUUCCAUAGUGUGUGAGGGAGGCCUCAACUGGAAAACUCAAAGACCGGGGUGGCUUGAUGACUGGAGGCUGGAACCAUCCGGAAGCUUCUUGAAGCUGGGUUGACUUACAUGUGGUCUUGCAUGUGAGUUGGGCUUUUCACAUCAUGGCUGUUGGGUUCCAAGAGGCAGUGUCUGGGGAACAAGAGUUCCAAGACACCAAGGCAGAAGCUGCUAGACCUUUUUUGACCUCGCUUCGGAUGUCAGCAAUGAAGUUCUGUGGAUUCAACUGCAUUCUAUUGGUUACCAGCAGUCGCUUGAAUCUGAUUAGCUCCAAAACUGAGUGAGCCUCUGGCAAGAGUGCAUUGCAGAAGGGCACAUCCAAUGAGAGGCGCUGCUGUAGUAACAGGGACCUCUCCAAUGGCCUGUUUGAGUGCUCUCAGAAUAUGGCACCUGGGUUCCUCCAGAGCAAGUGAUCUGAGAGAGAGCAAGGAGAAGGCCACUCUGCCUUUCAUGACUCAUCUCAGAAGUCACACACUAUCACAGGUUCUGUUCUGUUCAUUGGAAGUGAGUCAUGAAGUCCGGCCCACACUCAAGAGAAAGGAAAUUAUGCUCCUUCUUUUGAAAUGAGUGUAAGAAAGUAAAACUUUGUCAAAUGUGUAUGUGUGUGUGUGUGUGUGUCCCUAAACUAUGUGUCUUUUUUUUUAAUCUUUCCUAAAUGGAAUCACACUGUGAGUGUUCUGUGACUUGAAGUUUCACAAGACAUUAUAUUUCUGAAAUCCAUUCAUGUUGACACACUGUAUUAGUUUGCUCCAGCUGCCAUAACAAAAUACCACAGACUAGGGGCUUAAACAACAGAAAUUUACUUUCUCACCAGUUCUGGAGGCUGAAGUUCGAGAUCCAGGCAUGGGCAGGAUCAGUUUCUCCUGGGGCCUCUGUCCUCGGCUUGCAGAUGGCAUCUUCUCCCUGUGUCCCCACAUGGUCCUCCCUCUGUGUGAGUCUGUGUCUUCAUCUCCCCUUCUUAUAAGGACACCAAUCAGGUUGGAUUAGGGGCCACCCUAAAGACCUCACUUUAACUCAAUCACCUCUUUAAAGAACCCACCUCCAAAUAUAGUCCUGAGGUCCUGGGGGUUAGGACUUCAACAGAGGAAUGCUGGGGAGACACAAUUCAACCCAUAGCAUGCAUAUAAUUGUAGUUUGUUAAUUUUCACUACUCUAUAGUAUCCCAUUUUAUGAACAGACAAAAGUAUAUUAUUUAUUCUACCAACAAUGGAUAUUUUGGUUAUUUCCAGUUUUUUGUUAUUAUAGAUGAUACUGCCACAAGCAACCUGGCUCCCAUGAACAUGUAGCAUAUAUGCAUCUCUAUAUUUACUGUUAAUCCCAAUUCUUUUACAAAGUGGUUGCACCAGUUUACACUCCCACCAGCAGCAUAUCGGAGUUACUCCACAUUCUUACCAAUAUUUGGUAUGGUCAGAAUCCUUAACUUGCUAAUCUCAUGGUUGCAAAAUAAUAUCUCUUUUGUGGCUUUAAUUAGCCUUUCCCAGAUUACCAAUAAGGCAGUGAAUCUUUUCAUUUGUUUAUGAAAUGCUUUUUCAUUUCCUCUGUCCAUUUUUCCACUGGGUUGUUCACUCUGCCUUACUGAUUUGUCAAAAGUCUUCGCAUAUUGCAGUUGCAAUUACUUUGAUCACCUGUGGCUUGUCUUUUCAGAUUCUCUUGCCAAUUUUUGUCCACCUUGGCUCCUCUUCUUUUGCCCGUCUCUUGUUCGUGUCCCUCUUGGGUCCUGUUCUCUCCUUGUUCCACAUGUGAUCCCAUGUCAAUCAGUCCAAUGAAUAAAGUUUCCACUGCAUAUGCACCUGAAUCCUAAGUCUAUAUCUUCAAAAUAGCUCUUAAAAUCCACUGAACUCAGCCAGGUGCAGUGGCUCAUGCCUGUAAUCCCAGCACUUUGGGAGGCUGAGGUGGGCAGAUCACAUAAGGCCAGGAGUUCGAGACCAGCCUGGCCAACAUGGUGAAACCCCUUCUCUACUAAAAUUACAAAAAUUAACCAGGUAUGGUGGUGAAUGUCUGUAAUCCCAGCUACUUGGGAAACUGAGGCAUGAGAAUCGCUUGAACCCAGGAGGCGGAGGCUACAGUGAGCCAAGAUCAUGUCACUGCACUCCAGCCUGGGAGAUAGGGCAAGACUCUGUCUCAAAAAAAAAAAAAAAAAUCCACUGAACUCUUCAUGCUCUUUUCCUAACCUGUGAACUUUUGAACAUGUUUACUGCUGUUCAGGGAAUACCAUCUCCCAUCCUGGCCCCUGCUCCUCCCUAUACUCUGUAUAGCUAACUCCUGUUAACCUGCAAGUCUCAGGUCUCAGCUGAAGGGACCUCUUUUAACCAUGCUCCCAGAGUGCCCUAUAACUGUCACAUCACAGCACUUAGCACACAGUAUUGCCAUUAUCCUUUUACUCGGCUGUCUCUCCCACCAGACUGUAAGUCCCCAUGACACUGUACAUAGCAGCAUGUCUGUACAAAACUGACAUGCAAUAAAUCCUUGAUGGUGAAUUAAUUAAUAAUUCUUCAUGGGUAAAAAAUUAGGCUCACCAAUAAAACACAUGAGCACUCAAAUCAUUUGUACUAUUAAAACAUGUAUGUAAAUUCUACACAUUAAUCAUCAAAACAAUGUUAAAAUAACCUCUGAACCCUGAUCUCCCAAAAUAAAUGUAUUAUAAGUGUGUAAA
Molecule: long non-coding RNA, 6132 nt
Filed under: Homo sapiens (human)
Lineage: Eukaryota; Metazoa; Chordata; Mammalia; Primates; Hominidae
Description: HSALNT0100498
Source: RNAcentral